UAGGGAAUCUUCGGCAAUGGGGGGAACCCUGACCGAGCAACGCCGCGUGAGUGAAGAAGGUUUUCGGAUCGUAAAGCUCUGUUGUUAAGGAAGAACGAGUGUGAGAAUGGAAAGUUCAUGCUGUGACGGUACUUAACCAGAAAGGGACGGCUAACUACGUGCCAGCAGCCGCGGUAAUACGUAGGUCCCGAGCGUUGUCCGGAUUUAUUGGGCGUAAAGCGAGCGCAGGCGGUUAGAAAAGUCUGAAGUGAAAGGCAGUGGCUCAACCAUUGUAGGCUUUGGAAACUGUUUAACUUGAGUGCAGAAGGGGAGAGUGGAAUUCCAUGUGUAGCGGUGAAAUGCGUAGAUAUAUGGGGGAACACCGGUGGCGAAAGCGGCUCUCUGGUCUGUAACUGACGCUGAGGCUCGAACGCGUGGGGAGCGAACAGG
RNAcentral lists this ribosomal RNA (429 nucleotides) under Bacteroidota bacterium. Its description in RNAcentral is "Bacteroidetes bacterium partial 16S ribosomal RNA". It matches the Rfam family "Bacterial small subunit ribosomal RNA", at positions 355 to 776 of the family's 1533-position model. The record is from RNAcentral. Lineage: Bacteria; Pseudomonadati; Bacteroidota.